GGCAUGAUGGCCGAGCGGUCUAAGGCGACGCACUCAAGUUUAUGUAAACUUGCCCUUGUUUGGGUGGAAUUGCGUUGGGAUUUAUCCCGCGUGCGUUCAAAUCGCACUCAUGUCA
Rhizoctonia solani AG-1 IA is the source of this 115-nucleotide non-coding RNA. The record is from Rfam. Lineage: Eukaryota; Fungi; Basidiomycota; Agaricomycetes; Cantharellales; Ceratobasidiaceae.